Long non-coding RNA from Pantherophis guttatus, 785 nucleotides. RefSeq lists it as uncharacterized. The record is from RefSeq and is a predicted model, not a curated record. Lineage: Eukaryota; Metazoa; Chordata; Lepidosauria; Squamata; Colubridae.
UCCAGCAGAAAAUAUAGUUGCUAAAACAGUUGCUGUAAGAAGCAAGAGAUGCCUACAGUAAAAACUGUUUUCAAAAUAGCCAUUAUUUUCCCAGAAAAUAAAUUGGUAGGUGUGCCUUGUGUUCUUUGACCUUCUCCUCUUUUUGUAUUUACCUUGUAUGGUGCAGAAUCCUGCAACAUCUUCUCCAGGCUCUGCACAUGCACAGAAGAGGCGCACACAUGCAUAGCGCAUGGACACUCCCAUUCCCGAACGAGUAGCAAGGGAUGACUGUAAGGAUUACAGCUAGCUAAUGUCCAUGAAGUGCUCAGAACAUUUGAAAUGCUUUAUAAAGAAUAUUUCCAUUCAGAAUAACUGAUAUGCUUGUUCAGAAAUUGAUGGUGUCCAAUGAAGCAGCAUUUUAUCAGGUCUUCUAUAUCUACAAGCUUGCUGACUUUUUUCAACUUCUGAUGCUAAAUGAGAGGUGCUAUUUUUUGCAUUGUUGCCAAGGUCCCAAUCGGAUCCUCACAUUCUAAGAACAUCAGCCUGUCGUCUUGGUGUUUUCCCUGAUGAACUUGAUAUUUGAAUCCACUGUGCUUAUAUGAUCUAUGAAGGCCUGUACUUCCUGGACUCUAGCCCUAACCUUUGAACUAUUGGCCCUUGUGCCAGUGGAUGCACUUUAUCUCACAGGAUUCCAUAAAAAUAUCAAUUUUAUACAACAAAAGUUGUAUAACAAAAUUUUGUAAACAAAAUUCUUUGGCAUUUUCAUCAGAAAUUUUGAAUAAAAUGUGAUUUCAUGGUUGAUCAAA